This is a non-coding RNA of Bifidobacterium saguini DSM 23967, 2107 nucleotides long. Lineage: Bacteria; Bacillati; Actinomycetota; Actinomycetes; Bifidobacteriales; Bifidobacteriaceae. The record is from Rfam.
CUGGGUACCGACAGCAACCAAACUCCGAAUACCCGUGAUGCGUAUCCCGGCAGUGAGUCGGCGGGGGAUAAGCUCCGUCGUCGAGAGGGAGACAGCCCAGACCGUCGUCUAAGGUCCCCAAGCGCGUGCUAAGUGGGAAAGGAUGUGGAGUCGCAUAGACAGCCAGGAGGUUGGCUCAGAAGCAGCCACCCUUGAAAGAGUGCGUAACAGCUCACUGGUCUAGUGGUUCCGCGCCGACAAUGUAGCGGGGCUCAAGCACGCCACCGAAGACGCGGCAGUAGUUUUCUACUGGGUAGGAGAGCGUCCCACGAGGGUCGAAGCGGCGGUGUAAGCCGGCCGUGGACUUCGUGGGAGUGAGAAUGCAGACAUGAGUAGCGAGAGACGGGUGAAGAUCCCGUCCGCCGGAUGACCAAGGGUUCCAGGGCCACGUUCAUCGUCCCUGGGUGAGUCGGGUCCUAAGGCGAGGCCGACAGGCGUAGUCGAAUGGAUGAACGGGUCGAUAUUCCCGUACCGGCAGGCGACCGAAAAGACCGAGGCCGUGAGUACUAACCUCCGGUUGGCCGUGAUGUUCCCUUCGGGGUUCGGAUCGGUCCUCAGUUGGGAGCGUAGCGGUAGUAGGUGAGCGCAGGAGUGACACGGAAGGGCAGCCGGCCCGGGAGGUGGUUUUCCCGGGCCAAGCACGCAGCCCGCCCCCCAGGCAAAUCCGGGGGGCGCGAGGGUGAGGUGCGACGGGACGCGCGUUGAGCGUGGAUCCGGUGAUCCCGGCCGUCGAGAAAAGCUUCGGCGUGAGGGCGUCUGGCGCCCGUACCCCAAACCGACACUGGUGGUCAGGUAGAGAAUACCAAGGCGAUCGAGCGAAUCCUGGUCAAGGAACUCGGCAAAUCACUCCCGUUCCUUCGGUUUAAGGGAGACCCCCUUGCGUGAAGCGGCUUGCCCGUGGAGCGUCGGGGGGUGGCACAGACCAGGGGGUAGCGACUGUUUACCAAAAACACAGGUGCAUGCGAAGACGCAAGUCGCGGUAUAUGCACUGACGCCUGCCCGGUGCCGGAAGGUUAAGAGGAUCCGUCAACCUUUUUGGUGAAGCGGUGAAUUCAAGCCCCGGUAAACGGCGGUGGUAACUAUAACCAUCCUAAGGUAGCGAAAUUCCUUGUCGGGUAAGUUCCGACCUGCACGAAUGGCGUAACGACUUCCCCACUGUCUCGACCAGGAGCUCGGCGAAAUUGCAGUACGAGUAAAGAUGCUCGUUAAGCGCAGAAGGACGAAAAGACCCCGGGACCUUUACUAUACCUUGGUAUUGGCAUUCGGUGUGGAUUGUGUAGCAUAGGCGGGAGACUUUGAUAUCCAGGCGCCAGCCUGGGUGGAGUCGCAAGGUGAAAUACCGCUCUGUUCGCAUUGGAUGUCUCACCACGACCAGUCAUCCUGGUCUGGGACAGUGCCUGGCGGGUAGUUUAACUGGGGCGGUUGCCUCCCAAAGAGUAACGGAGGCGCUCAAAGGUUCCCUCAGCCCGGUUGGCAAUCGGGUGGCGAGUGUAAGUGCACAAGGGAGCUUGACUGCGAGACUGACGGGUCGAGCAGGGACGAAAGUCGGAACUAGUGAUCCGGUGCCGGUGUACGGACGCGGCAUCGCUCAACGGAUAAAAGGUACCCCGGGGAUAACAGGCUGAUCAUUCCCAAGAGUCCAUAUCGACGGGAUGGUUUGGCACCUCGAUGUCGGCUCGUCGCAUCCUGGGGCUGGAGCAGGUCCCAAGGGUUCGGCUGUUCGCCGAUUAAAGCGGCACGCGAGCUGGGUUCAGAACGUCGUGAGACAGUUUGGUCUCUAUCCUCUGCGCUCGUUGGAAUGUUGAGGAGGCCUGCCCAUAGUACGAGAGGACCUGGGUGGACGAACCUCUGGUAUGCCGGUUGUCGCGCCAGCGGCACGGCCGGUUGGCCACGUUCGGAAGGGAUAACCGCUGAAAGCAUCUAAGCGGGAAGCCUGCUCCAAGAUAAGCAUUCCAUAGGAUCCCCGGAUCCUUGAACCCCCCAUGAAGAACACGUGGUCGAUAGGCCGGACGUGGAAGCCCCGCGAGGGGUGGAGCCGACCGGUACUAACGGGGAAAGGCGAAACCUU